This 468-nucleotide ribosomal RNA is filed under the name uncultured bacterium. Its description in RNAcentral is "partial 16S ribosomal RNA". It matches the Rfam family "Bacterial small subunit ribosomal RNA", at positions 28 to 507 of the family's 1533-position model. The record is from RNAcentral.
GACGAACGCUGGCGGCGUGCUUAACACAUGCAAGUCGAACGGAAAGGCCCUGCUUUUGUGGGGUGCUCGAGUGGCGAACGGGUGAGUAACACGUGAGUAACCUGCCCUUGACUUUGGGAUAACUUCAGGAAACUGGGGCUAAUACCGGAUAGGAGCUCCUGCUGCAUGGUGGGGGUUGGAAAGUUUCGGCGGUGGGGGAUGGACUCGCGGCUUAUCAGCUUGUUGGUGGGGUAGUGGCUUACCAAGGCUUUGACGGGUAGCCGGCCUGAGAGGGUGACCGGCCACAUUGGGACUGAGAUACGGCCCAGACUCCUACGGGAGGCAGCAGUGGGGAAUAUUGCACAAUGGGCGGAAGCCUGAUGCAGCAACGCCGCGUGCGGGAUGACGGCCUUCGGGUUGUAAACCGCUUUCGCAUGUGACGAAGCGUGAGUGACGGUAAUGGGUAAAGAAGCACCGGCUAACUACGUG